RNAcentral lists this unclassified non-coding RNA (501 nucleotides) under Hevea brasiliensis (rubber tree). The record is from RNAcentral. Lineage: Eukaryota; Viridiplantae; Streptophyta; Magnoliopsida; Malpighiales; Euphorbiaceae.
CAAACUUUGACUGAUCCUACAGGAUUAUUAUCGGAAACAUAUGUUUCAGGAAUCUGAAAUCGAAGGGCGAUUGAAUCAGCCCUCCCUAGUACCCUGAACAGAAAUUAAUAACAAAGUAGAAAUAAAGGGGCAAACUGAUCAUCAGAACAUAUCAAAGACAUGUUUUUAACAAGAUAGGAGAUGGGAACAGUUUCAGGGUUGUGUUGAUGAAAUAAGGUCCAUUGCUUCUGACUUUAACCGCUAGUCACAUUCAAUAGAGCAGCUUUGGAAGGGGGAGAAACACGAAAUUUGCUGACCUUCGUUCACUCGAGUCCUAGUGUUUGCGGGCUCUGAGUUUCUCUGCAGUCCAGCCAGAAGGAAUUGCUGUACGUACUGGUUGCAGCAUUCAAUUUUUUUUUUCAGAACAUCAAUUUGACUAUUGAUGACAUAAAGACAAAAUGACAAUGUUAUUUACAAGAAUAUCACGCAAAAGAAGCGGAAGUAGAGAUAAAAGGAGAAAAU